RNAcentral lists this ribosomal RNA (401 nucleotides) under uncultured Kazachstania. RNAcentral's name for it is "SSU rRNA". It matches the Rfam family "Eukaryotic small subunit ribosomal RNA", at positions 555 to 962 of the family's 1831-position model. Lineage: Eukaryota; Fungi; Ascomycota; Saccharomycetes; Saccharomycetales; Saccharomycetaceae. The record is from RNAcentral.
GCAAGUCUGGUGCCAGCAGCCGCGGUAAUUCCAGCUCCAAUAGCGUAUAUUAAAGUUGUUGCAGUUAAAAAGCUCGUAGUUGAACCUUGGGUCUGUUUGGCCGGUCCGAUUUUUUCGUGUACUGGAAUCCCAAGCGGACCUUUCCUUCUGGCUAACCUUGGGUCCUUGUGGCUCUUGGCGAACCAGGAUUUUUACUUUGAAAAAAUUAGAGUGUUCAAAGCAGGCCUUUGCUCGAAUAUAUUAGCAUGGAAUAAUAGAAUAGGACGUUAUGGUUCUAUUUUGUUGGUCUCUAGGACCAUCGUAAUGAUUAAUAGGGACGGUCGGGGGCAUCAGUAUUCAGUUGUCAGAGGUGAAAUUCUUGGAUUACCUGAAGACUAACUACUGCGAAAGCAUUUGCCAAA